RNAcentral lists this ribosomal RNA (562 nucleotides) under uncultured bacterium. Its description in RNAcentral is "partial 16S ribosomal RNA". It matches the Rfam family "Bacterial small subunit ribosomal RNA", at positions 355 to 1375 of the family's 1533-position model. The record is from RNAcentral.
UGGGGAAUAUUGCACAAUGGGCGAAAGCCUGAUGCAGCAACGCCGCGUGAGUGAUGAAGGCCUUCGGGUUGUAAAGCUCUGUCUUUUGGGACGAUAAUGACGGUACCAAAGGAGGAAGCCACGGCUAACUACGUGCCAGCAGCCGCGGUAAUACGUAGGUGGCAAGCGUUGUCCGGAUUUACUGGGCGUAAAGGAUGCGUAGGCGGAUUUUUAAGUGAGAUGUGAAAACCCUAAGCUUAACUUGGGGACUGCAUUUCAUACUGGAAAUCUAGAGUGCGGGAGAGGAGAAUGGAAUUCCUAGUGUAGCGGUGAAAUGCGUAGAGAUUAGGAAGAACACCAGUGGCGAAGGCGAUUCUCUGGACCGUAACUGACGCUGAGGCAUGAAAGCGUGGGUAGCAAACAGGAUUAGAUACCCUGGUAGUCCACGCCGUAAACGAUGAGUACUAGGUGUAGGAGGUAUCGACCCCUUCUGUGCCGGAGUUAACGCAAUAAGUACCCCGCCUGGGGAGUACGGUCGCAAGACUGAAACUUAAAGGAAUUGACGGGGUCAUAGCUGUUUCCU